Molecule: long non-coding RNA, 959 nt
Filed under: Marmota monax (woodchuck)
Lineage: Eukaryota; Metazoa; Chordata; Mammalia; Rodentia; Sciuridae
Source: RNAcentral
GUGGUGGAGUGCUUGCCUGGCAUUCUUGUGGCCCUGGGUUUGAACUCCAGAACCACCAAAAAAAAAAAAAGUAUAAUUAAUAAGCUGUCAGUCAUGAAAUCUAAUUGAAAAUGUGGAAACCAAAACUUUGAUCAUAAUGGAAAAAACUUCUUUAAAUUGUAGAGGGUAACAAAUUUAGUGGGUUUUAACUUCUUUCACCAUAGAACAAGAAUUUUCCAAUUGUAUUCAAAUGAGACUGUAGUGAUUAUAGAGUAUUACCCUUUAAAAAUUUCCCCAAUUUUAAGUUAAUUGUUGUAAAGGUAUUGUAUUCUUUUACAAGAACUUUUAGUAAAGUCUUGUAACUUAAAUCUACUGUAUUAAUAUAAGCCAUUUGUUAUUUUUUGGAAAAAAAAUUAUUUGAUAGUCUAUAAAUUGCUUAAGAAUUUCAUCCACCCCUCCCCCACCUUUUUAGUCUUAUUCUCUCUUUACUUAUAUCCAGAACAUAAUCUUAAAAUAAUCUUUUAUGGUAAUGAUGAUCAAUAAUCUUUUAUGGUAAUGAUGAUCACUUGUAAUCCACUGAGCCAUGUUUUGUUUGUUUGGGGUUUUUUGACAAAGCUAAAAGCCUGAAACAAUUCUCUCUCAUCUUAUCCCUGUGUAUAUAUGUAUGUAUUAAAAAAUAGAAACAAAACGCAGAGAUAACCAUUAAUAUUUUCCCUUUGAUGGAUGUACAUAAAUACAUGUUUAUUCCCCCCUUGGACUAAUGGGACUAUACUGCUCAUAACUUUGUAAUUUGAUUUUUUUAAUUUAUAAUAUAUUGUGGACAUCUUUCUAUGUCAGCCAAUUAAACUACCUAUCUUCUUUUUAAUGGUUAUAAGUUAUUCCUUUAUGGAACUAUAACUUAGCAAUUACUUAUUCCCAUACAAAACUUUUACGUUACAAAUAAUGUGAAAGUACACGUAUUCAAGCAUUCAUAAUUUCCU